AACGAACGCUGGCGGCAUGCCUAACACAUGCAAGUCGAACGAGACCUUCGGGUCUAGUGGCGCACGGGUGCGUAACGCGUGGGAACCUGCCCUUAGGUUCGGAAUAACUCCCCGAGAGGGGUGCUAAUACCGGAUAAUGUCUUCGGACCAAAGAUUUAUCGCCUUUGGAUGGGCCCGCGUUGGAUUAGCUAGUUGGUAGGGUAAAAGCCUACCAAGGCGACGAUCCAUAGCUGGUCUGAGAGGAUGAUCAGCCACACUGGGACUGAGACACAGCCCAGACUCCUACGGGAGGCAGCAGUGGGGAAUAUUGGACAAUGGGCGAAAGCCUGAUCCAGCAAUGCCGCGUGAGUGAUGAAGGCCUUAGGGUUGUAAAGCUCUUUUACCCGGGAUGAUAAUGACAGUACCGGGAGAAUAAGCUCCGGCUAACUCCGUG
RNAcentral lists this ribosomal RNA (433 nucleotides) under uncultured bacterium. RNAcentral's name for it is "partial 16S ribosomal RNA". It matches the Rfam family "Bacterial small subunit ribosomal RNA", at positions 29 to 507 of the family's 1533-position model. The record is from RNAcentral.